GAACGCUGGCGGCGUGCUUAACACAUGCAAGUCGAACGGUGAACACGGAGCUUGCUCUGUGGGAUCAGUGGCGAACGGGUGAGUAACACGUGAGCAACCUGCCCCUGACUCUGGGAUAAGCGCUGGAAACGGCGUCUAAUACUGGAUAUGUGACGUGACCGCAUGGUCUGCGUCUGGAAAGAAUUUCGGUUGGGGAUGGGCUCGCGGCCUAUCAGCCUGUUGGUGAGGUAAUGGCUCACCAAGGCGUCGACGGGUAGCCGGCCUGAGAGGGUGACCGGCCACACUGGGACUGAGACACGGCCCAGACUCCUACGGGAGGCAGCAGUGGGGAAUAUUGCACAAUGGGCGCAAGCCUGAUGCAGCAACGCCGCGUGAGGGACGACGGCCUUCGGGUUGUAAACCUCUUUUAGCAGGGAAGAAGCGAAAGUGACGGUACCUGCAGAAAAAGCGCCGGCUAACUACGUGCCAGCAGCCGCGGUAAUACGUAGGGCGCAAGCGUUAUCCGGAAUUAUUGGGCGUAAAGAGCUCGUAGGCGGUUUGUCGCGUCUGCUGUGAAAUCCGGAGGCUCAACCUCCGGCCUGCAGUGGGUACGGGCAGACUAGAGUGCGGUAGGGGAGAUUGGAAUUCCUGGUGUAGCGGUGGAAUGCGCAGAUAUCAGGAGGAACACCGAUGGCGAAGGCAGAUCUCUGGGCCGUAACUGACGCUGAGGAGCGAAAGGGUGGGGAGCAAACAGGCUUAGAUACCCUGGUAGUCCACCCCGUAAACGUUGGGAACUAGUUGUGGGGUCCAUUCCACGGAUUCCGUGACGCAGCUAACGCAUUAAGUUCCCCGCCUGGGGAGUACGGCCGCAAGGCUA
This 856-nucleotide ribosomal RNA is filed under the name uncultured bacterium. RNAcentral's name for it is "bacterial SSU rRNA". It matches the Rfam family "Bacterial small subunit ribosomal RNA", at positions 31 to 896 of the family's 1533-position model. The record is from RNAcentral.